Molecule: long non-coding RNA, 1807 nt
Filed under: Nicotiana benthamiana
Lineage: Eukaryota; Viridiplantae; Streptophyta; Magnoliopsida; Solanales; Solanaceae
Description: long non-coding RNA (NBEN_LNC021304)
Source: RNAcentral
CGCUACCUAACUUAAAAUUCGAAUUUCAAAUAUCAAUUAAACCUUAAAUCGAGAUUUUUAACAAUUGGAGAAUGUAUUAUACACUAACUCAAAACAACAGAUCGAGUUAAGCAGCAGAGAAUUGAUAACAAAUUACAAACAUAAUGUGAAGUUCAAGGAUCCAAGGAUUAAACUAAACACAAUAUCAAGAGAUUUGCCAAACACAAAAUAUAAAGAGAUUUGCCAAACAGUGCACUAGCGUAAGGGAGCGGAAAUGGUCAGCAAGGAAAUGGUUUUCACUUUUUAAUCCGAUGUAGAAGCUAAUUAGUGACACUAACAUUCAAUUCAACAGUGAGAUCGAGCAAUUUACACAAAAGAAACGUUUCCGUUCACAAUAUCAAGAGAUCGAACAAUUCAGCAGCGAGAUAGAGUAAUGACAGUAGCAUUCAAUUCAAAAGAAAAACGAGAAUUACUUGGGCCAAGCGGGUCAGGAGACCGAGCUUCUUCCUCGUCGUACGACCUCGACGCACCGGAUCUCGACGUUGAACGACCACGGUUGAACCAGGCGCGAAUUUGCCCGGAUUGAACCUCAGACAGUGACUUCAAAUCGAGCCCAGAAAUCUAACUCAAGCAGCCACACUUUUUGAUUCACAAGAUCUCGAGCUCACACGACGGAUGUUCAAUGUCAAAUCGGAAACCUCAACGACACCAACUCGACUCUUCAACGAUGACUAAAACCGAAUCGGACUGAACUCAACAAAAAAUUCAACGAACAACAGCAGCGAAUUGACAUCACACUGCGGACCUCGACUUGGCGUCGCCAAACUCAAACAAGCCCGUAUUCAACCCCAAAGGAGCUCAACCAAUGAACUUCCGCCAUUAGAACUCCAACUCGUUUUCUGGUUUGAUUUUUACUCGUUUCGAAAUGAUAUUGAAUCUAAAGGAACUAGCAGAACGGAACCAGCAAAUCAGUUGUUAACGCAUAGAUACAAAGGGACGUGAACAAUGACUAUUUGUGCAAAAUCGAAGAAACAGAAAGACAUCAGUAGAGCAGACUAAGAGUGAGCUCUCUUCAAUUAAAUGUUUCCUUUGAGCAAUUUACACAAACAAAACGAAACCAUGGCCAUCUUUCACUAUGCGAAAAUCAGCAAGUAAACAUGAAUCCAUAAAUGAAAAUUUGCACGAACACAUCGACAAGUCACAAUAGGGACUCGAACUAACAGAAUUCAGCCUCGACUAACACCUCGGAUAGGAAUCCGAAUCGAAAGCGACAAGUCACUAUAGAGACUCGAACUAACAGAAUUCAGCCUCGACUAACACCUCGGAUAGGAAUCCGAAUCGAAAAUUAGAGGGAAACCAGAAUUCGACAUGAAAAUUGAAAGGAUUUGAAUUCGAAAGCAGAAUAAAACCAAAAUCUUGUCCGCUCAGUUCUCACCGUUUUUGGAGCUUAUGUUCUAUUUUUCGCACAAUACUCUCACUGUUCAGUCACUCUCCAUGCGUGUGUGCAUUUCCCGACGAGUUUCAGUGAAAGAGGGCUGGGUUGUGGCGUGAAGGAUUGGGUUCCUUUUCUUGUCAAUUGCCACUUUUUCAAUUUUUUCCGUCCCCUUUUUUUUCAGUAUUUUCGUGUAUCUUUUUUGUGUAGUUUUUUUCUUCCUUUUUUCUUGGGCAGAGAAUAAUUUUAUAGAGUGUGUGGAAUGAGCUGUUAUGUGGGGAGUUUUAUUUGGGGAGAUAGUACUAUAUGAGGUAAUAUUUUGGGGGAAGGUUUUAUGUGAGGAAAUAUUUUGGGGGAAGGUGUUAGGUGUGAGAAAUGAUUUAGGGAAAAGUAUUU